GGCAUGCUGCGGCUACACAUGCAGUCGAGCGGCAGCACAGAGAAACUUGUUUCUCGGGUGGCGAGCGGCGGACGGGUGAGUAAUGCCUGGGAAAUUGCCCUGAUGUGGGGGAUAACCAUUGGAAACGAUGGCUAAUACCGCAUGAUGCCUACGGGCCAAAGAGGGGGACCUUCGGGCCUCUCGCGUCAGGAUAUGCCCAGGUGGGAUUAGCUAGUUGGUGAGGUAAGGGCUCACCAAGGCGACGAUCCCUAGCUGGUCUGAGAGGAUGAUCAGCCACACUGGAACUGAGACACGGUCCAGACUCCUACGGGAGGCAGCAGUGGGGAAUAUUGCACAAUGGGCGCAAGCCUGAUGCAGCCAUGCCGCGUGUGUGAAAAGGCCUUCGGGUUGUAAAGCACUUUCAUUAUGGAGGAAGGUGGUAGUCGUCGGAGCGGUAUCAUUUGACUUAACCUCCAAAGGACCUCCGGCGUCUCCGCGGCAUCCUCCGGAGGUCAAGAGAAGGUUGCGUUCUUCGUGCGCAUAAUUGAACCCACGCGCAUGCAGGUGGUUUGUUAAGUCAGAUGUGAAAGCCCGGGGCUCAACCUCGGAACUGCAUUUGAAACUGGCAGACUAGAGUACUGUAGAGGGGGGUAGAAUUUCAGGUGUAGCGGUGAAAUGCGUAGAGAUCUGAAGGAAUACCGGUGGCGAAGGCGGCCCCCUGGACAGAUACUGACACUCAGAUGCGAAAGCGUGGGGAGCAAACAGGAUUAGAUACCCUGGUAGUCCACGCUGUAAACGAUGUCUACUUGGAGGUUGUGGCCUUGAGCCGUGGCUUUCGGAGCUAACGCGUUAAGUAGACCGCCUGGGGAGUACGGUCGCAAGAUUAAAACUCAAAUGAAUUGACGGGGGCCCGCACAAGCGGUGGAGCAUGUGGUUUAAUUCGAUGCAACGCGAAGAACCUUACCUACUCUUGACAUCCAGAGAAUCUAGCGGAGACGCUGGAGUGCCUUCGGGAACUCUGAGACAGGUGCUGCAUGGCUGUCGUCAGCUCGUGUUGUGAAAUGUUGGGUUAAGUCCCGCAACGAGCGCAACC
This 1072-nucleotide ribosomal RNA is filed under the name Vibrio vulnificus. RNAcentral describes it as "bacterial SSU rRNA". It matches the Rfam family "Bacterial small subunit ribosomal RNA", at positions 41 to 1103 of the family's 1533-position model. The record is from RNAcentral. Lineage: Bacteria; Pseudomonadati; Pseudomonadota; Gammaproteobacteria; Vibrionales; Vibrionaceae.